CGUCGAGUGGCGAACGGGUGAGUAACACGUGGGUGAUCUGCCUUGCACUCUGGGAUAAGCUUGGGAAACUGGGUCUAAUACCGGAUAGGAACCGUCUUUAGUGUGGUGGUUGGAAAGUUUUUCGGUGCAAGAUGAGCUCGCGGCCUAUCAGCUUGUUGGUGGGGUAAUGGCCUACCAAGGCGUCGACGGGUAGCCGGCCUGAGAGGGUGUACGGCCACAUUGGGACUGAGAUACGGCCCAG
This 241-nucleotide ribosomal RNA is filed under the name uncultured Actinomycetales bacterium. RNAcentral's name for it is "partial 16S ribosomal RNA". It matches the Rfam family "Bacterial small subunit ribosomal RNA", at positions 89 to 334 of the family's 1533-position model. Lineage: Bacteria; Bacillati; Actinomycetota; Actinomycetes; Actinomycetales. The record is from RNAcentral.